RNAcentral lists this ribosomal RNA (467 nucleotides) under uncultured bacterium. RNAcentral describes it as "partial 16S ribosomal RNA". It matches the Rfam family "Bacterial small subunit ribosomal RNA", at positions 28 to 507 of the family's 1533-position model. The record is from RNAcentral.
GAUGAACGCUGGCGGCGUGCUUAACACAUGCAAGUCGAACGGAAAGGCCCAAGCUUGCUUGGGUACUCGAGUGGCGAACGGGUGAGUAACACGUGGGUGAUCUGCCCUGCACUUCGGGAUAAGCCUGGGAAACUGGGUCUAAUACCGGAUAGGACCACUUCUUGGAUGUUGUGGUGGAAAGUUUUGUCGGUGUGGGAUGAGCUCGCGGCCUAUCAGCUUGUUGGUGGGGUAAUGGCCUACCAAGGCGUCGCCGGGUAGCCGGCCUGAGAGGGUGUACGGCCACAUUGGGACUGAGAUACGGCCCAGACUCCGACGGGAGGCAGAAGUGGGGAAUAUUGAACAAUGGGCGCAAGCCUGAUGCAGCGACGCCGCGUGGGGGAUGACGGCCUUCGGGUUGUAAACGCCUUUCGCUAGGGACGAAGCGUUUUGUGACGGUACCUGGAGAAGAAGCACCGGCUAACUACAUG